RNAcentral lists this ribosomal RNA (229 nucleotides) under uncultured Glomeromycotina. RNAcentral describes it as "partial small subunit ribosomal RNA". It matches the Rfam family "Eukaryotic small subunit ribosomal RNA", at positions 851 to 1078 of the family's 1831-position model. The record is from RNAcentral. Lineage: Eukaryota; Fungi; Glomeromycota.
CUAGGAUUGACGUAAUGAUUAAGUAGGGAUAGUUGGGGGCGUUAGUAUUCAAUUGUCAGAGGUGAAAUUCUUGGAUUUAUUGAAGACUAACUACUGCGAAAGCAUUUGCCAAGGAUGUUUUCAUUAAUCAAGAACGAAAGUUAGGGGAUCGAAGACGAUCAGAUACCGUCGUAGUCUUAACCAUAAACUAUGCCGACUAGGGAUCGGAUGAUGUAAUUUUAAUGACUCA